AGUGAACGCUGGCGGUAGGCCUAACACAUGCAAGUCGAACGGCAGCACAGUAAGAGCUUGCUCUUACGGGUGGCGAGUGGCGGACGGGUGAGGAAUACAUCGGAAUCUACUUUUUCGUGGGGGAUAACGUAGGGAAAAUUACGCUAAUACCGCAUACGGCCUACGGGUGAAAGCAGGGGAUCUUCGGACCUUGCAUGAUUGAAUGACCCGAUGUCGGAUUAGCUAGUUGGCGGGGUAAAGGCCCACCAAGGCGACGAUCCGUAGCUGGUCUGAGAGGAUGAUCAGCCACACUGGAACUGAGACACGGUCCAGACUCCUACGGGAGGCAGCAGUGGGGAAUAUUGGACAAUGGGCGCAAGCCUGAUCCAGCCAUACCGCGUGGGUGAAGAAGGUCUUCGGGUUGUAAAGCCCUUUUGUUGGGAAAGAAAAGCAGCAGGUUAAUACCUCGCUGUUCUGACGGUACCCAAAGAAUAAGCACCGGCUAACUUCGUG
This 492-nucleotide ribosomal RNA is filed under the name uncultured bacterium. RNAcentral's name for it is "partial 16S ribosomal RNA". It matches the Rfam family "Bacterial small subunit ribosomal RNA", at positions 29 to 507 of the family's 1533-position model. The record is from RNAcentral.